AUUGAACGCUGGCGGCAGGCCUAACACAUGCAAGUCGAACGAGUGGCGGACGGGUGAGUAAUGUCUGGGAAACUGCCUGAUGGAGGGGGAUAACUACUGGAAACGGUAGCUAAUACCGCAAACCAUCGGAUGUGCCCUUGUGGGAUUAGCUAGUAGGUGGGGUAAAGGCUCACCUAGGCGACGAGCCCUAGCUGGUCUGAGAGGAUGACCAGCCACACUGGCACUGAGACACGGUCCAGACUCCUACGGGAGGCAGCAGUGGGGAAUAUUGCACCAUGGGCGCAAUCCUGAUGCAGCCAUGCCGCGUGUAUGAAGAAGGCCUUCGGGUUGUAAAGUACUUUCAGCGGGGAGGCGUUACCCGCAGAAGAAGCACCGGCUAACUCCGUGCCAGCAGCCGCGGUAAUUC
RNAcentral lists this ribosomal RNA (406 nucleotides) under uncultured bacterium. Its description in RNAcentral is "partial 16S ribosomal RNA". It matches the Rfam family "Bacterial small subunit ribosomal RNA", at positions 30 to 526 of the family's 1533-position model. The record is from RNAcentral.